Molecule: ribosomal RNA, 250 nt
Filed under: uncultured bacterium
Lineage: Bacteria
Description: partial 16S ribosomal RNA
Rfam family: Bacterial small subunit ribosomal RNA
Source: RNAcentral
UGGGGAAUAUUGCACAAUGGGCGCAAGCCUGAUGCAGCAACGCCGCGUGGGGGAUGAAGGCCUUCGGGUUGUAAACCCCUUUUAGCAGGGAAGAAGCGAAAGUGACGGUACCUGCAGAAAAAGCGUCGGCUAACUACGUGCCAGCAGCCGCGGUAAUACGUAGGACGCAAGCGUUGUCCGGAAUUAUUGGGCGUAAAGAGCUCGUAGGCGGUUUGUCGCGUCUGCUGUGAAAUUCCGAGGCUCAACCUCG